Molecule: long non-coding RNA, 215 nt
Filed under: Mytilus galloprovincialis (Mediterranean mussel)
Lineage: Eukaryota; Metazoa; Mollusca; Bivalvia; Mytilida; Mytilidae
Source: RNAcentral
UACAAAUAAGUCAACAUGACCAAAAUAGUCAGUUGACCCGACCCCUUAAGGAGUUAUUGUCCUUUAUAGUCAAUUUUUGUCAAUUUUUUGUCAAUAUUUGUUAUCUUUUACAAAAAUCUUCUCCUCUGAAAGUACUAAGACAAAUUUAACCAAACUUGUCCACAAUCAUCAUUAGGGUAAGUAGUUUUAAAAAUGUGUCCGAUGACCCUGCCUGC